This 274-nucleotide ribosomal RNA is filed under the name uncultured bacterium. RNAcentral describes it as "partial 16S ribosomal RNA". It matches the Rfam family "Archaeal small subunit ribosomal RNA", at positions 473 to 747 of the family's 1478-position model. The record is from RNAcentral.
AAACCAGCACCUCAAGUGGUCAGGAUGAUUAUUGGGCCUAAAGCAUCCGUAGCCGGCUCUGUAAGUUUUCGGUUAAAUCUGUACGCUCAACGUACAGGCUGCCGGAAAUACUGCAGGGCUAGGGAGUGGGAGAGGUAGACGGUACUCGGGAGGAAGGGGUAAAAUCCUUUGAUCUCUCGAUGACCACCUGUGGCGAAGGCGGUCUACCAGAACACGUCCGACGGUGAGGGAUGAAAGCUGGGGGAGCAAACCGGAUUAGAAACCCCAGUAGUCC